Long non-coding RNA from Eptesicus fuscus (big brown bat), 171 nucleotides. RefSeq lists it as uncharacterized. The record is from RefSeq and is a predicted model, not a curated record. The transcript is spliced from 3 exons. Lineage: Eukaryota; Metazoa; Chordata; Mammalia; Chiroptera; Vespertilionidae.
GCAGAAGUGAGGAGACCUAAAGAGAGGGAUGAACUACUUAAAGCUUGAGGUCUGCCAGCAGAAAUUUGGAAUCACUUCUUUCUGACUUCUCCCAUUUUUCAGAAGAGAAUAACUUAACAGCAUCCUUGAAGGAAAAUGUCCUUUAAAAUCUGCACAUCAUGAGAAUGGAAU